RNAcentral lists this ribosomal RNA (253 nucleotides) under uncultured bacterium. Its description in RNAcentral is "partial 16S ribosomal RNA". It matches the Rfam family "Bacterial small subunit ribosomal RNA", at positions 524 to 776 of the family's 1533-position model. The record is from RNAcentral.
UACGUAGGGGGCGAGCGUUGUCCGGAAUGACUGGGCGUAAAGGGCGUGUAGGCGGCUUUUUAAGUCUGGAGUGAAAGCCCCAUUUUCAAGGUGGGGAGUGCUUUGGAGACUGGAGAGCUUGAGUGCGGAAGAGGUAAGUGGAAUUCCCAGUGUAGCGGUGAAAUGCGUAGAGAUUGGGAGGAACACCAGUGGCGAAGGCGACUUACUGGGCCGUAACUGACGCUGAGGCGCGAAAGCGUGGGGAGCGAACAGG